UACAGAGGUCUCAAGCGUUGUUCGGAUUCAUUGGGCGUAAAGGGUGCGUAGGCGGCGCGGUAAGUCGGGUGUGAAAUUUCGAGGCUUAACUUCGAAACUGCAUUCGAUACUGCCGUGCUUGAGGACUGGAGAGGGGACUGGAAUUUACGGUGUAGCGGUGAAAUGCGUAGAUAUCGUAAGGAAGACCAGUGGCGAAGGCGGGUCUCUGGACAGUUCCUGACGCUGAGGCACGAAGGCCAGGGGAGCAAACGGG
Molecule: ribosomal RNA, 253 nt
Filed under: uncultured bacterium
Lineage: Bacteria
Description: partial 16S ribosomal RNA
Rfam family: Bacterial small subunit ribosomal RNA
Source: RNAcentral